RNAcentral lists this ribosomal RNA (798 nucleotides) under uncultured Gammaproteobacteria bacterium. RNAcentral describes it as "bacterial SSU rRNA". It matches the Rfam family "Bacterial small subunit ribosomal RNA", at positions 56 to 841 of the family's 1533-position model. The record is from RNAcentral. Lineage: Bacteria; Pseudomonadati; Pseudomonadota; Gammaproteobacteria.
UGCAGUCGAACGGCAGCAUGAAUAUGGGUAACCAUAUUUGACGGCGAGUGGCGGACGGGUGAGUAAUAUGUAGGAAUCUACCUAGAGGAGGGGGAUAACUUGGGGAAACCCAAGCUAAUACCACAUAAGCCCUACGGGGGAAAGCAGGGGACCGCAAGGCCUUGCGCCUUAUGAUGAGCCUACAUCGGAUUAGCUAGUUGGUGGGGUAAAGGCCUACCAAGGCGACGAUCCGUAGCUGGUCUGAGAGGAUGACCAGCCACACUGGGACUGAGACACGGCCCAGACUCCUACGGGAGGCAGCAGUGGGGAAUAUUGGACAAUGGGCGAAAGCCUGAUCCAGCAAUGCCGCGUGUGUGAAGAAGGCCUUAGGGUUGUAAAGCCUUUUCAGUGGGGAGGAAGGGAUUGAUGCUACUAUCGUCAGUCAUUGACGUUACCCACAGAAGAAGCACCGGCUAACUCUGUGCCAGCAGCCGCGGUAAUACAGAGGGUGCGAGCGUUAAUCGGAAUUACUGGGCGUAAAGCGUGUGUAGGUGGUUAGAUAAAUUAGAUGUGAAAUCCCUGGGCUUAACCUGGGCACUGCGUUUAACACUGUUUAGGUAGAGUACUGUAGAGGAUAGUGGAAUUUCCAGUGUAGCGGUGAAAUGCGUAGAUAUUGAAAGGAACACCAGUGGCGAAGGCGACUAUCUGGACACAUACUGACACUGAGACGCGAAAGCGAGGGGAGCAUACACGAUUAGAUACCCUGCUAGUCCAUGCUGUAAACUAUGAGAACUUGCUGUUGGAUGCAUAAAGGCAUUU